GUGCCCGGCGCGGACAGUCCAGACCGCCACAGCAGAUGAACUGUUCUGGGUGGUGUGAUCUGUGGACUAGGCAUUUCCACCCUAGCAGAGAAGGAAGGAUUCAUUUUGAACUCUGCUUAUCGCGCCGUCGGAACUUAACUUGGUUGUUUCUUUGUUUGCAGGCGCCUUCCAAAUCCAGGACUUAGGAAUCCGAGUCCCGCAGCUCCCGCAUUUCUUCCGCUGGGACCCCGGAGCCAGGAUGCUUUCUUAGAGUGACUGUGGCGCAGCUUGCAAAGUAUUAUCCGUCUUCUUCAAUUCCUGACCAGCACCACUGCUUAAGCACCCUCCCGCAGUCCCUCAGUCACAGCUGGAAAACAAUGAUAACCAUGAUAACUUGAACUGUAUUCAUGCCGCGGAAACCAUGGCCAAAAGUGAUGACUCUUUUAGAGGAUCUGCUACGCAGACUGCCCCCAUCUUUCCGCGGGAGGAUGGAUUUAAAUUUUAGAAAUCUGGGAAGGCUGUGCUACAGUUUUAUGCCCUAUAAAAUAACAAGCAUCAUCGGAGGCGGGAACUUUGGCUAUGAGAAUUUAAAGAAUAAGAUUUGGAUUUUACAGACAGUACUAUCUCCUAGGUGCAUAUAUGAUGUUUAUACGACCAAUGUAAUUCUAUAUCAUGUACACCCAGAAGAUUGGGAAGUUAUACUCCAUAUAUGUAUAAUAUGUCAAAAUACAUUCUAUUUUCAUGUAUGAAUAAUUACAACAAAUUUUUUAAAUUUUGGAUUUUAGUCUUGUUUCAGCCGCUUUAACCACUCUGACAAGUCACUGGGGGUUCUUCUGUAAACCUCGG
RNAcentral lists this long non-coding RNA (825 nucleotides) under Marmota monax (woodchuck). Lineage: Eukaryota; Metazoa; Chordata; Mammalia; Rodentia; Sciuridae. The record is from RNAcentral.